ACUGUGCUAAGGUAGCAUAAUCAAUUGGCUAUUAAUUGUAGUCUGGAAUGAAAGAAGUAAUGAAUAGUAGCUAUAAUAAUUAGUGUUUUUUUAAUUUGUUUAUCUGGUGAAAAUACCAGUAAUUUAGAAAAAAGACGAGAAGACCCUUAGAAUUUUUAAAGAAAAGUGUAUAACAUUUUUUAAAUAGAAAAAAUAGAUUACAUCCUAAUUUUUUGUUGGGGCGACAAGAAAACAAAAACUUAAAAGAAACUUUUCUAAUUUUAUUAAAAAAAUUUAUGAUAAUUAUGUGACGAAAUUUUUAUGAAUAACUAAAUUACCUUAGGGAUAACAGCAUAAUGAUAAUUUUAUUUAGUUUGUGACC
Molecule: ribosomal RNA, 361 nt
Filed under: Physella gyrina
Lineage: Eukaryota; Metazoa; Mollusca; Gastropoda; Physidae
Description: partial 16S ribosomal RNA
Source: RNAcentral